Molecule: ribosomal RNA, 2145 nt
Filed under: Rikenellaceae bacterium DTU002
Lineage: Bacteria; Pseudomonadati; Bacteroidota; Bacteroidia; Bacteroidales; Rikenellaceae
Description: bacterial LSU rRNA
Rfam family: Bacterial large subunit ribosomal RNA
Source: RNAcentral
UCAAGCGUAUACGGGCACACGAUGGAUGCCUUGGCACCAGCAGGCGAUGAAGGACGCGGCUUGCUGCGAUAUGCCCCGGGGAGCCGCGAGCAGGCUUUGAUCCGGGGAUCUCCGAAUGGGGAAACCCGAUGGGCGUCUGGCCCAUCACCGCGCGCUGAAUACAUAGGCGCGCGGAGCGACACCGGGGGAAGUGAAACAUCUCAGUACCCCGAGGAGCAGAAAUCAACACGAGAUUCCGCGAGUAGUGGCGAGCGAAACCGGAAGAGGCCAAACCACGGGGCUUGCCCCGUGGGGUUGCGGGAGCGCGAUGUGGCAUCGCCUCUGCAUAGUCGAACGGUCUGGAAAGUCCGGCCAGAGCGGGUGAAAGCCCCGUAGACGAAAUGCAGUGGCGGCCUAGCGAAUUCCCAAGUAGGACGGGACACGUGAAACCCCGUCCGAAUCCGGGGGGCCCACCCCCCAAGCCUAAAUACUCGCUGGUGACCGAUAGUGAACGAGUACCGUGAGGGAAAGGUGAAAAGAACCGCUGCUAGCGGAGUGAAAGAGACCUGAAAUCGUGUGCCCACAAAGCUGUAGGAGCCCCGCAAGGGGUGACUGCUUGCCUUUUGCAUAAUGAGUCCGCGAGUCACGGUGGGCGGCGAGGUUAACCCCUCCGGGGGGAAGCCGCAGCGAAAGCGAGUCCGAAAUGGGCGCCCGAGUCGUCCGCCGUGGACCCGAAGCCCAGUGAGCUACCCUUGGCCAGGUUGAAGCCUCGGUAACACGAGGUGGAGGACCGAACCGGUGACCGUUGAAAAGGUCUCGGAUGAGCUGAGGGUGGGAGUGAAAGGCUUAACAAACUGGGUGAUAGCUGGUUCUCCUCGAAAUGCCUUUAGGGGCAGCCUUCGCGAUUGCACGCGACGGGGGUAGAGCACUGAAUGGUCUAGGGCCCCUACCGGGGUACCGAAGCCUCUCAAACUCCGAAUACCGUCGCCGUCACGCGGGGAGUGAGACUGUGGGGGCUAAGCUUCAUAGUCGAAAGGGAAACAGCCCAGCCCGCCGGCCAAGGCCCCGAAAUCCGGUUGAGUCACUAAGGAUGUGGAGUCUCGCAGACAGCUAGGAUGUUGGCUUAGAGGCAGCCAUCAUUUAAACAGUGCGUAAUAGCUGACUAGUCGAGAGAUUCCGCGCCGAAAAUGAUCGGGAGUAAACCGGAUGCCGAAGCCGCGGAUCCCCGUAAGGGGGUGGUAGAGGAGCGUUCCGCACGGAUCGAAGCGCAAGGGGAACCGAGCGUGGACUGUGCGGAAGUGACUAUGCGGACAUGAGUAACGAAAAGUGGGGUGAGAAUCCCCACCGCCGGAAUUCCAAGGUUUCCCGGGGCAGGUUCGUCCUCCCGGGGUUAGUCGGUGCCUAAGGCGAGGCCGAAAGGCGUAGUCGAUGGACAACGGGUCAACAUUCCCGUACUGCCGGUGAGAGUUCGAGCGAUGGAGCGAGCAGGAGGCUACCCCCGCGACCUGAUGGAUGGUCGUCCAAGCCCCGAGGGGGCCCGCGCAGGCAAAUCCGCGCGGGCAACCCCGAUGGGUGAUGGUGAGCGCCCCGCGAGGGGCGCGAAGCGGGAGAUGCCCGGCUGCCAAGAAAAACUCCUAGUGAUCGAGCCGGCAACCGUACCUAAACCGACACAGGUGGAAGGGUACUAGUAUACCAAGGCGCGCGAGAGAAACCUCGUUAAGGAACUCGGCAACAUGACCCCGUAACCUAGGGAGAAGGGGUCCCCCGCGAGGGGGCGCAGUGAACGGGCCCAGGCGACUGUUUAACAAAAACACAGCACUCUGCCAACACGCAAGUGGAUGUAUAGAGUGUGACACGUGACCAAUGCCGAAAGGUCAAGGCAAGGGGUCAGCCGCAAGGCGAAGCUCCGAACCAAAGCCCCGGUGAAUGUCGGCCGUAACUAUAACGGUCCUAAGGUAGCGAAAUUCCUUGUCGGGUAAGUUCCGACCUGCACGAAUCGUGUAACGAUCUGGGCGCUGUCUCAACGAGGAUCUCGGUGAAGUUGUAAUGGCGGUGAAAAUGCCGCAUACCCGCAGAAGGACGGAAAGACCCCAUGAACCUUUACUGUAGUCUGGCAGUGGCGUCUGGUCAUCCAUAUGUAGCAUAGCUGGGAGUCUCGGAAGCGGA